RNAcentral lists this ribosomal RNA (497 nucleotides) under uncultured bacterium. RNAcentral's name for it is "partial 16S ribosomal RNA". It matches the Rfam family "Bacterial small subunit ribosomal RNA", at positions 28 to 507 of the family's 1533-position model. The record is from RNAcentral.
GAUGAACGCUGGCGGCGUGCCUAAUACAUGCAAGUCGAGCGAACGGACGAGAAGCUUGCGUCUCUGAUGUUAGCGGCGGACGGGUGAGUAACACGUGGAUAACCUACCUAUAAGACUGGGAUAACUUCGGGAAACCGUAGCUAAUACCGGAUAAUAUUUUGAACCGCAUGGUUCAAAAGUGAAAGACGGUCUUGCUGUCACUUAUAGAUGGAUCCGCGCUGCAUUAGCUAGUUGGUAAGGUAACGGCUUACCCAGGCAACGAUGCAGAGCCGACCUGAGAGGGUCGUCGCCCACCCUGGAACUGAGACACGGUCCAGACUCCUACGGGAGGCAGCAGUAGGGACUCUUCCGCAAUGCGCGAAAGCCUGACGGAGCACCGCCGCGUGAGUGAUGAAGGUCUUCGGAUCGUAAAACUCUGUUAUUCGGGAAGAACAUAUGUGUAAGUACCUGUGCACAUCUUGACGGUACCUAAUCAGAAAGCCACGGCUAACUACGUG